CCUACGGGAGGCAGCAGUGGGGAAUAUUGGACAAUGGGGGCAACCCUGAUCCAGCCAUGCCGCGUGUGUGAAGAAGGCCCUCGGGUUGUAAAGCACUUUCAGUGAGGAAGAACGCCUGGUGGUUAAUACCCAUCAGGAAAGACAUCACUCACAGAAGAAGCACCGGCUAACUCCGUGCCAGCAGCCGCGGUAAUACGGAGGGUGCGAGCGUUAAUCGGAAUUACUGGGCGUAAAGCGCGCGUAGGUGGCUUGAUAAGCCGGUUGUGAAAGCCCCGGGCUCAACCUGGGAACGGCAUCCGGAACUGUCAAGCUAGAGUGCAGGAGAGGAAGGUAGAAUUCCCGGUGUAGCGGUGAAAUGCGUAGAGAUAGGGAGGAAUACCAGUGGCGAAGGCGGCCUUCUGGACUGACACUGACACUGAGGUGCGAAAGCGUGGGUAGCAAACAGGAUUAGAUACCCCAGUAGUC
This 465-nucleotide ribosomal RNA is filed under the name Vreelandella stevensii. RNAcentral's name for it is "partial 16S ribosomal RNA". It matches the Rfam family "Bacterial small subunit ribosomal RNA", at positions 338 to 795 of the family's 1533-position model. The record is from RNAcentral. Lineage: Bacteria; Pseudomonadati; Pseudomonadota; Gammaproteobacteria; Oceanospirillales; Halomonadaceae.